GUCCAGUCAAUAUUCGUCCAAGAUAAAAGUCCCGUUCCAUCAUAGAGACCAGCAUCUGAAAAGGUUCAUCAAGUUUUGCUGCUGGAGGAGGAACAUGUCUUAUAAUGGCAUCAAGCAACUGCGACAUAUUUCUCAAUUCGCCAGGAGGAUCUUUAGUGAAAGUGUCAGAAGCCCACCCUUCUUUAGCAGAAGCAUAAAGGACAGGAAAGUCCAACUGCUCCUCUGCAGCGCCCAGAUUUGCAAAUAGAUCAAAUACCAAGCUCUCAACUUCAUUACACCUCUCUUCAGAUACUGAUGGUCG
Molecule: unclassified non-coding RNA, 301 nt
Filed under: Hevea brasiliensis (rubber tree)
Lineage: Eukaryota; Viridiplantae; Streptophyta; Magnoliopsida; Malpighiales; Euphorbiaceae
Source: RNAcentral